Molecule: ribosomal RNA, 1122 nt
Filed under: uncultured organism
Description: bacterial SSU rRNA
Rfam family: Bacterial small subunit ribosomal RNA
Source: RNAcentral
ACCGGAUGUGGUCUCCAGUUUGCAUGAACAGGAGAUUAAAGGUGACCUCUACUUGUAAGUUAUCGUUUAGGGAUGGUCUUGCGGACCAUUAGCUUGUUGGCGGGGUAACGGCCCACCAAGGCUGCGAUGGUUAGCCGGCUUAAGAGGGUGAUCGGCCACAUUGGGACUGAGAUACGGCCCAGACUCCUACGGGAGGCAGCAGUAGGGAAUUUUGCGCAAUGGACGAAAGUCUGACGCAGCAACGCCGCGUGAGCGAUGAAGGUUUUCGGAUUGUAAAGCUCUGUUGAGUGGGAAGAAAACUCUCCGGGAUAAUACCCCGGAGACUUGACGGUACCACUCGAGGAAGCCUCGGCUAAAUACGUGCCAGCAGCCGCGGUAAUACGUAUGGGGCAAGCGUUGUUCGGAAUCACUGGGCGUAAAGGGAGUGUAGGCGGAAAGGUAAGUUAGAAGUGUAAUCCACGGGCUUAACCCGUGACUCGCUUUUAAUACUGCUUUUCUUGAGUAUGGGAGAGGGAGAUGGAAUUCCAGGUGUAGCGGUGGAAUGCGUAGAUAUCUGGAAGAACACCAGUAGCGAAGGCGGUCUCCUGGCCCAAUACUGACGCUGAGGCUCGAAAGCGUGGGGAGCGAACAGGAUUAGAUACCCUGGUAGUCCACGCCGUAAACGAUGGACACUAGAUGUUGGCCUCUUCGGGGGUCGGUGUCGUAGCUAACGCGUUAAGUGUCCCGCCUGGGAAGUACGCUCGCAAGAGUGAAACUCAAAGGAAUUGACGGGGGCCCGCACAAGCGGUGGAGCAUGUGCUUUAAUUCGAUGCAACGCGAAGAACCUUACCUGGACUUGACAUGGGGGUGAAAGUUUUCAGAGAUGAAAACCCUUCCUUCGGGAACGCCCUACACAGGUGCUGCAUGGUUGUCGUCAGCUCGUGUCGUGAGAUGUUGGGUUAAGUCCCGCAACGAGCGCAACCCUUGUCCUUAGUUGCCAGCGGGUCAUGCCGGGAACUCUAGGGAGACUGCCUGGUACAACCAGGAGGAAGGUGGGGAUGACGUCAAAUCAUCAUGGCCCUUACGUCCAGGGCUAGACACGUGCUACAAUGGCCGGUACAGAGGGCUGCAAGACUGCGAAGU